RNAcentral lists this ribosomal RNA (517 nucleotides) under uncultured bacterium. Its description in RNAcentral is "bacterial SSU rRNA". It matches the Rfam family "Bacterial small subunit ribosomal RNA", at positions 28 to 550 of the family's 1533-position model. The record is from RNAcentral.
GAUGAACGCUGGCGGCGUGCCUAACACAUGCAGUUGAGCGUGAAAUUUAUAUUGAUUCUUCGGAUGAUUUAUAAAUGGAAAGCAGCGGACGGGUGAGUAACGCGUGGAUAACCUGCCCUAUACUCCAGGAUAACAUACCGAAAGGUAUGCUAAUACUGGAUAAUAUACAUUAGUCGCAUGGCUUUUGUAUCAAAGAUUACGGUAUAGGAUGGAUCCGCGUUCCAUUAGCUAGUUGGUGGGGUAAAGGCCUACCAAGGCGACGAUGGAUAGCCGACCUGAGAGGGUGAUCGGCCACACUGGAACUGAGACACGGUCCAGACUCCUACGGGAGGCAGCAGUGGGGAAUAUUGCACAAUGGGCGAAAGCCUGAUGCAGCAACGCCGCGUGAGCGAUGAAGGCCUUCGGGUCGUAAAGCUCUGUCCUAAAGGAAGAAUUUUGACGGUACUUUAGGAGGAAGCCCCGGCUAAUUACGUGCCAGCAGCCGCGGUAAUACGUAAGGGGCUAGCGUUAUCCGGAA